Non-coding RNA from Perca fluviatilis (European perch), 1052 nucleotides. The record is from the annotation of a RefSeq genome assembly. NCBI's taxonomy places the organism in Eukaryota, Metazoa, Chordata, Actinopteri, Perciformes, Percidae.
AACAUAAAAAUUUGGUAAAAGAUUUAAUUACCAACAUUUUCUGGAGGUUUCAAAUCCUGGGGUCAAAUUGACCCCAAGGAUAACAGAUGUUAGUAAAUUUGAGGAUAACAGGAGGGUUAAUCAUCCAUUAAACAUUUGAGACAUUGUUUUUCCUCAUAAUCAAUUUUUGAUGGGUGUUGCAUUUUCUCCCUCUUUAAUGUCACGUUCUUUUUUUCCAGUAACUCCGGCAUCAUCUCAGAUGCUUGGCAUAUAUGUUCAGGGACCACCACUCCAGGAGCUUCAGAACAAGGGUCCGGUGACUAUUACCUGUCUUCUAAUCGGCCCUUCUCUUAAUGAUUUCUCUGUCACCUGGAAAGUAGAUGGGAAAAGUUAUUCCCUCAAUGUCCAUAAGGAGCCACCAGUGAGUCACAGCAAUGGGACGGAGACUUUGCGGAGCUCCCUCGAUGUGUUAGCGGAGGAUUCGCAUGCAUAUAAACAAGUGUCUUGCGAGGCAAAGCAUCGAUGUUCCAACCAGAGCUACGAGGACCAUAUAAGCAAAAGCAGAGUCACCCACAGCAAACCUUCAGCCAUCUUGCUCCAGGGCUCUGGUGAACUUGUGUGCCUGGUCUCCACGUUCAGCCCUGAGUCCAUUAACAUCACUUGGUUACUCGAUGGCAAGGAACUGUGGGACUACAACACCAGUGAACCCCACAGAGGCCCAAACGGAAAGUUCAGCAUCCAAAGCCACCUUCGUCUGUCCCAAGUCAUCUGGUUACGUGGGGCAGUCCUCACCUGCAGGGUGACACAAACACCACCCUAUUCCUGAAUAAAUCGAAACCAGGUGCUAGUUUGUCCAUUGAUUCAAGUCUUUCUUGUACAUUAAACACUGUACAUACUAAGUUAACCACCUAUAUGUAGCACCGGUAUCACACCUCUAACUGCGCCACUGGACCAGUUCUAGGUUCUAAGGAGUGGCGAGCAAAACAAUAAUUACACCAGAGACCGUUGCUUUAAAUACAAAAGGCCGGCCAUUUACUAAAUGCAAAAACACAUAAAAUACAGUACACAAAACA